This is a non-coding RNA of Myodes glareolus (Bank vole), 1468 nucleotides long. Lineage: Eukaryota; Metazoa; Chordata; Mammalia; Rodentia; Cricetidae. The record is from RefSeq and is a predicted model, not a curated record.
AAGACUUAGUCUCCUUAAUGGGCUAGUCUUACAAGUGUAUCCAGUCUGCUGUGCGGCUGGGUCUAGCUUGGAAUACAGCUCAGCAAAAACACCAUAAACGGUUUCAGUGCAGUAGGAGAUGUUUUGUAACUCGACUGCUUGCUUCUCAAGGUUAAGUACGUCUGUCAGAGGCUGGCUUUGCUUCAGAGCCAUUUGCCUAAGAUGGGCAUUGUGUCUGAGAACAGCAUCAGCAAUAACCAUGAUAUAAAAGCUUAAAAACCAAGUUCCAAGGGAAGAGAAUGACAUAUAUGCAGAGAUCAACUUUUAAUUUAUAUUUUUAAAAGAAUGUAUUGAGUCAAGAGGAGAAUUCAACAGCACAGUCACAGGGAAGACCACUGCUAACGUGGUUACUUCAGCCUCAGAAAAGUUAGAGAUUAAUAUUUUGGCAAGAACCAUGUCUUUGGAGAUACUAAAAGAAAUGACCACAAAGAUAGCAAGAAUAGCCACAAAAAGCAGUAACUCACGUUGCUUUGGAAGCCUUCCUCAGGGAUGAGCUAGCACGGGCAUCAGAGGAUCGGGAAGAAGGAAUAACUACGGAAGGGGGAAAGUCACUCCCAUUAAUCAAUGGCCAAGGCCACUGUGUUCAGUCACCAGUGUAAACGAGGGGCAAGACAAUCACAUGUAAGAGGGACAGUCGCAGUCACUGGUGUUCACUCCUAUGUGCUUGUGCGCCCUCUCUCCUGCCUGUGUAAAUCAUCCAGAGGCUAACCAUUUCACAUCUGAUAACAGAUUGCUCUACUCUUCCCUGGGGACAGCGAUUUCUCCUGCUCUCAAUGUUCCUUAUUUCCCUAUAGUUCUCUGUCUUGGGCAGGAAGCUGAAGCAACUUCAACUUCCUUCAAUUGAUGAAUGGAAAAUGAAGAUGUGGUAAAUAUACACUAUAUAACCCUAUUAAACUGUAAGAAAAAAAUGAAAUAUGCACGUAAAUGGAUGGAACUAGAAAAUAUCAUAUUUAGUGAGAUAACCCAUACCCAGAAAUAUAAAUGCCCAAUGUUCUGUCUUUGGAGGCUCUUAAUUCCAAAUCUUCAGAUGAUUUGGAAAAAAACAAGUUUGUUUUUGAAGCAAGCUCUCAUUAUGCAAAGACCUAGCUGGCCUGAAACUUUCAGGUUGGCCUCAAACACACAAAGAUCUGCCUGCCUCUGCCUCCCAAAUAGGAUUAAAGGCACAUUCUACCACGUCUAGCUUGUCUUAGUUUUAAAAGCCUCUUGGUUCUAAUAUCAUUGAAUUUAUCACAAAACCAUUGUGCAACAAAGAAACAUCUCUGUGUAUAUUAGAGUUGCUAAUAUUCUUCCCAGGGUAAAUUGAAAACUGAGAAAACUAUAGCAGCAAGACAACGGAUAAGAGGGACCAAGGAAAAACAAAUACCUCACCUCUGUCUUUCCUCAACCUCGGCCUCCCACUAACCAGUUUGUAUUGUUUCCAUUCACAUUU